Molecule: microRNA precursor, 118 nt
Filed under: Dasypus novemcinctus (nine-banded armadillo)
Lineage: Eukaryota; Metazoa; Chordata; Mammalia; Cingulata; Dasypodidae
Description: miRNA (ENSDNOG00000049243.1)
Source: RNAcentral
CCCGUCGUCCCCCUUCCAAGCCCCUGGUCCUGGGUCUGCCAGCCCCAGCCCCAGUGCCGCAUGGGCAGCUGUUGGCCCAGGGCCUGGCAUUUAGGGAGAGCUCAGCAAGUGCCAGCUG